UGAGCAAUCUGCCCUUCUCAUCGGAAUAAGCGUUGGAAACGACGUCUAAUGCCGAAUACGACCUCCUUUCGCAUGAUCGGAGGUGGAAAGCUCCGGCGGAGAAGGAUGAGCUCGCGGCCUAUCAGCUAGUUGGUGUGGUAAUGGCCCACCAAGGCGACGACGGGUAGCCGGCCUGAGAGGGUGACCGGCCACGUGGGACUGAGACACGGCCCAGACCUCCGUACGGGAGGNAGCG
This 235-nucleotide ribosomal RNA is filed under the name uncultured bacterium. Its description in RNAcentral is "partial 16S ribosomal RNA". It matches the Rfam family "Bacterial small subunit ribosomal RNA", at positions 118 to 353 of the family's 1533-position model. The record is from RNAcentral.